RNAcentral lists this ribosomal RNA (363 nucleotides) under Cordyceps bifusispora. RNAcentral's name for it is "eukaryotic LSU rRNA". It matches the Rfam family "Eukaryotic large subunit ribosomal RNA", at positions 54 to 421 of the family's 3401-position model. Lineage: Eukaryota; Fungi; Ascomycota; Sordariomycetes; Hypocreales; Cordycipitaceae. The record is from RNAcentral.
AGGAAAAGAAACCAACAGGGAUUGCCCCAGUAACGGCGAGUGAAGCGCAACAGCUCAAAUUUGAAAUCUGGAAAAAGGGUCCGAGUUGUAAUUUGCAGAGGAUGCUUCGGGCGAGGUGCCUUCCGAGUUCCCUGGAACGGGACGCCAUAGAGGGUGAGAGCCCCGUCUGGUCGGACACCGAGCCCGUGUGAAGCUCCUUCGAAGAGUCGAGUAGUUUGGGAAUGCUGCUCAAAAUGGGAGGUAUAUGUCUUCUAAAGCUAAAUAUUGGCCAGAGACCGAUAGCGCACAAGUAGAGUGAUCGAAAGAUGAAAAGCACUUUGAAAAGAGGGUUAAAAAGUACGUGAAAUUGUUGAAAGGGAAGCG